AUUGAACGCUGGCGGCAUGCCUUACACAUGCAAGUCGAACGGUAACAGGUCUUCGGAUGCUGACGAGUGGCGCACGGGUGAGUAAUACAUCGGAACGUGCCCGAUCGUGGGGGAUAACGAAGCGAAAGCUUUGCUAAUACCGCAUAAGAUCUACGGAUGAAAGCAGGGGACCGCAAGGCCUUGCGCGAACGGAGCGGCCGAUGGCGGAUUAGGUAGUUGGUGGGAUAAAAGCUUACCAAGCCGACGAUCUGUAGCUGGUCUGAGAGGAUGACCAGCCACACUGGGACUGAGACACGGCCCAGACUCCUACGGGAGGCAGCAGUGGGGAAUUUUGGACAAUGGGCGAAAGCCUGAUCCAGCCAUGCCGCGUGCAGGAUGAAGGCCUUCGGGUUGUAAACUGCUUUUGUACGGAAGGAAAAGACUCUGGUUAAUACCUGGGGUCCAUGACGGUACCGUAAGAAUAAGCACCGGCUAACUACGUG
This 482-nucleotide ribosomal RNA is filed under the name uncultured bacterium. RNAcentral's name for it is "partial 16S ribosomal RNA". It matches the Rfam family "Bacterial small subunit ribosomal RNA", at positions 30 to 507 of the family's 1533-position model. The record is from RNAcentral.